UUAGAGUUUGAUCCUGGCUCAGGAUGAACGCUGGCGGCGUGCCUAAUACAUGCAAGUCGAGCGAAUGGAUUGAGAGCUUGCUCUCAAGAAGUUAGCGGCGGACGGGUGAGUAACACGUGGGUAACCUGCCCAUAAGACUGGGAUAACUCCGGGAAACCGGGGCUAAUACCGGAUAACAUUUUGAACUGCAUGGUUCGAAAUUGAAAGGCGGCUUCGGCUGUCACUUAUGGAUGGACCCGCGUCGCAUUAGCUAGUUGGUGAGGUAACGGCUCACCAAGGCAACGAUGCGUAGCCGACCUGAGAGGGUGAUCGGCCACACUGGGACUGAGACACGGCCCAGACUCCUACGGGAGGCAGCAGUAGGGAAUCUUCCGCAAUGGACGAAAGUCUGACGGAGCAACGCCGCGUGAGUGAUGAAGGCUUUCGGGUCGUAAAACUCUGUUGUUAGGGAAGAACAAGUGCUAGUUGAAUAAGCUGGCACCUUGACGGUACCUAACCAGAAAGCCACGGCUAACUACGUGCCAGCAGCCGCGGUAAUACGUAGGUGGCAAGCGUUAUCCGGAAUUAUUGGGCGUAAAGCGCGCGCAGGUGGUUUCUUAAGUCUGAUGUGAAAGCCCACGGCUCAACCGUGGAGGGUCAUUGGAAACUGGGA
This 652-nucleotide ribosomal RNA is filed under the name Bacillus thuringiensis. RNAcentral describes it as "bacterial SSU rRNA". It matches the Rfam family "Bacterial small subunit ribosomal RNA", at positions 1 to 638 of the family's 1533-position model. The record is from RNAcentral. Lineage: Bacteria; Bacillati; Bacillota; Bacilli; Caryophanales; Bacillaceae.